This 253-nucleotide ribosomal RNA is filed under the name uncultured bacterium. RNAcentral's name for it is "partial 16S ribosomal RNA". It matches the Rfam family "Bacterial small subunit ribosomal RNA", at positions 524 to 776 of the family's 1533-position model. The record is from RNAcentral.
UACGAAGGGGGCUAGCGUUGUUCGGAAUCACUGGGCGUAAAGGGCGCGUAGGCGGCUUUAUAAGUCGGGGGUGAAAGCCUGUGGCUCAACCACAGAAUUGCCUUCGAUACUGUAGAGCUUGAGACCGGAAGAGGUAAGUGGAACUGCGAGUGUAGAGGUGAAAUUCGUAGAUAUUCGCAAGAACACCAGUGGCGAAGGCGGCUUACUGGUCCGGUUCUGACGCUGAGGCGCGAAAGCGUGGGGGGCAAACAGG